Molecule: ribosomal RNA, 449 nt
Filed under: uncultured bacterium
Lineage: Bacteria
Description: bacterial SSU rRNA
Rfam family: Bacterial small subunit ribosomal RNA
Source: RNAcentral
CCCCCAGACUCCUACGGGAGGCAGCAGUGGGGGAUAUUGCACAAUGGGGGGAACCCUGAUGCAGCGACGCCGCGUGGGUGAAGGAGUAUUUCGGUAUGUAAAGCCCUAUCGGCAGGGAAGAAGCAAGACGGUACCUGACUAAGAAGCCCCGGCUAACUACGUGCCAGCAGCCGCGGUAAUACGUAGGGGGCGAGCGUUAUCCGGAUUCACUGGGUGUAAAGGGAGCGUAGACGGCCAAGCAAGCCAGGGGUGAAAGCCCGGGGCCCAACCCCGGGACUGCUUUGGAAACUGUUCAACUGGAGUGCAGGAGAGGUAAGUGGAAUUCCUAGUGUAGCGGUGAAAUGCGUAGAUAUUAGGAGGAACACCAGUGGCGAAGGCGGCUUACUGGACUGUAACUGACGUUGAGGCCCGAAAGCGUGGGGAGCAAACAGGAUUAGAUACCCGAGUAG